GGGGGGCCGCUUGCAUUGUCUAUAUCCUUGGUGGGCAGACGCAACUGUGGAUUUUAUGAUUAGUGGGGGUUAUAAUGUUAGUACACAGAUACAACAGGUAAAGCAGAAGACACUUAUCAUAUGGGGUGAGGAUGACCAGAUCAUUAGUAACAAGCUUGCAGUGAGACUGCACUGUGAACUGCCAAAUGCAACUAUACGUCAAAUACCAGAUUGUGGUCAUCUUCCUCGUGUCGAAAGGCCCAAC
Molecule: long non-coding RNA, 244 nt
Organism: Quercus robur (English oak)
Lineage: Eukaryota; Viridiplantae; Streptophyta; Magnoliopsida; Fagales; Fagaceae
Exons: 3
Source: RefSeq, a predicted model, not a curated record